GAAGUCAAACCUUGAAUUGAUGAUGGAGAACUUCAUAGCCGUACAAACUCAAACUAACAAGGAAGUCCUAAAUCAAAACAUACACACUAAUGAGCAAAUUAAGCAGUUAACAAGCAAAUUAGAUAUCCUAGCCACACACAAUAAGAUGCUUGAAACUCAAAUUUCACAAGUAGCCCAACAACAAGCAUCUACCUCUGCACCUGCAGGAACAUUUC
Molecule: long non-coding RNA, 215 nt
Filed under: Trifolium pratense (red clover)
Lineage: Eukaryota; Viridiplantae; Streptophyta; Magnoliopsida; Fabales; Fabaceae
Description: long non-coding RNA (TPRA_LNC014296)
Source: RNAcentral